RNAcentral lists this long non-coding RNA (6715 nucleotides) under Malus domestica (apple). RNAcentral describes it as "long non-coding RNA (MDOM_LNC021071)". The record is from RNAcentral. Lineage: Eukaryota; Viridiplantae; Streptophyta; Magnoliopsida; Rosales; Rosaceae.
GGGGAGAGAGGUUGGUCAGCACAGCAGAGAGAAGAAGCCAAGUCCACGGAAUGGAGAGGAGAGCACAGCAAGAGUUGGUCAGAGCACAGAAAGCAGAAGCCUUUUCUUUCGGUUUAAUCUUUCCAAACUCCUAUUUUAUUUUUGUUUUAAUAAUGUGUAAUUAAUUUUAUUUUGGCUAGAGGUUAAGUCGAAACCAUGAAUAUAUUUGUAAUAUGAAUUGAUUACCUUCGGUUGUGAUUUCAUAAGUUGUGUUUUCAAUUUACUUAUCCGUUCGUAUAAAAACUGAUUUGUGUAUGUUGGUUGAGAGUGCACGCUUAAUUUACAUGCAUGAAUUUGAUGCUAGAAUAUAAGUGAAUUUCACCUAAUCGUUAUGAACUUAUUUUCACAAGUAGUAAAGGUUGCUAGUCACAAUCACGUUAAGUAAAUUCUUGGCAAGAGUAUCAUGCUUUUCAUAGUUACGAAUGCCUCGUCAAUGCUUAUAGUUUUCACAAAGUUUAAUGAUCUUUGAUUGUAUCUCUAUUGUGCUUUUCACGUAGGGGGACUUUUGAAGAAUGUUUUGAAUUGUUGUAUGCGUUUUCCCGUCCAAUUCAAUAACUUAAGGAAAACUUGAAGAUUAAAAAAGUGCUGUUCACGGUUAAUCUGAAGUGUUGAGAUUCACAAUUUAUUGAAAGAACAACUGAAAAUCAAUUUAAGUUGCAUAUGUGUCAUGUGUGGAGAAGAACCCUCUAGCUAGUCCGUCAUUUAUCAUUUUACCUUAAUUUCAUGUUUUUGUCAAUUCUGUAAUUUAAUUAAGUUUAAUUUACUUUUCAUCAAAACCAAACACCCAUCCAUUAUUAAAUUAUAUUAUUUAGUUAGUUUUUCUUUAUUGUUAGUCUUUUAAUUUAAUUUCCGUCCAUUUCAGUUCCUAGUGUUUAAUUUAAUUGUUUUCAUUAUUUUGAGUCAUUUUAAGUGUGUUUCGAGUUAUUAGAGUUUUUAGCCUAAUUUUAUGUCCUUGAGUCUUAUUUAAUAUUUUUAAAUUAAUUUAGAAUAGAUUAGCAAUCCCUCCUAAUCCCCGGCCUAGAACGAUACCCUACUUACAUCUAUACUACAAUUGUCAAAAAGAGGGUUUAAUUUUGUGUGUUAACUUAUUUUUCACAUCAAAUUUUGGCGCCGUUGCCGGGGAUUAGCAACUUUGCUAAUCCUUUUAUUUUUGUUUUUGUUUAUGUUUAUAUUGGUGUUUGUGUAUUUUACUUUUGAUAUUUUGAUUUAUUUUUCUUUCUUUGAUUUUAGGUUCAAAUGGAGCCGAGGGAAAUUUAAAGGAAAGAUGCGUCCGGCUAAAGACGUUAAAUCAAGCGCUUCUUGGGAGGCAACCCAAGCAUUCAACGAAGAGAGACUUUGGAAUCGCUAACCCAAUCAGAUUUGCAUUUUUACACCCUUAUCUUUAAUGCUUUCAUUUUGUCUUGUUUAGUUAGUUGUGUUAUUUGUUUGAUUUCUGUGAGUUUGUGUUAUUUAGUUUAAGUGUGGGGGAAGGUUAACCAAAGUCUCUUUACAUUAAUUUAAAUUUAAAAAAAAAAAAAAAAAUUUAAAAAAAAAAAAAAAAGAUAAAAUUUAAAAAUUAAUGAUAAAAAAAAUAAAAAAAAAAAAAAAAAACAAUUAAAAAAAUCAAAAAAAAAAAAACAUAAAAAAAAAAAAAAAAAAAAAAAAAAAAUGCAAAUAUUUUUACAAUAAUGUAAACUAAUAGUAUUCAUUGGUCGGGUGGUGCUUCAGUAGUAGGCGGGGCUUCAGCAGUCGGCGGGGCCACAGAAGGAGGAGGCAGCAGAGGUUGAUCAGUUGGAGCUUCACUACGCGGUGCCGCUCCAGAAGACGAAGGCAGAUGUUGUUGGAACAAACCCACAAAACCUCCGAUGAUCAAGUAAAAUUUGACCAUCGGUGUCCUGCAUCUGGUCAAUCUUCCUCUUCAUGCUGGUGGCAUAGCUGUGUGCGAGCUUGUGCAAUUCCUUAUUCUCAUGCUUGAGCCCUUUAAUCUCUUGCUUGAGACUCUGUAUUUCAGCCACCAAGGAUUCAACGUGACGGGUUCGGGCAUAUAGGCGUUGGGCCAUGUUGGAUACGGAACCCGCACACUGCACACUGAGAGCCAGAGACUCCUUGACUGCCAAUUCAUCAGACCGCCUUGCGAGCAGUCUGUUAUCUCUGGGAGUGACAAGGUUUCGGGCCACCACCGCAGCUGUCAUAUCAUUUUUAUCACCGAAUCCCCCACGGUAAGGGGACCGGUAGGGGAUAUGAAGGAUGGCCGCCAUAUGUUGUCUGGUGAAGGCGGAGCUGCCUCUUCACCAAUGUUCAAGUCAAAACGACGAUCAGAAGGGCCAGACAUUUUUCAGAGGUGGUAAAGAAUGAAGAGAGUUGGACUGAUCAAGAUUAAACAAGUGCAAGAAGGGAGUGUUUACAGGAGGGAGCUCAAGUGUGUUGUGGAACAAGCUUAACGUCUCUAUAAAAAGGAAGAAAUCAAAGAGGCGCUCCUCAGAGAAGCGUCCUCUCGCAAAUCGAAGAGUCGGGGCUCCGUUCUCAAACGUCUGAUUCUUUUCUCAAAAGAGGAGUUUCCUUUCUCAAAAGCCGGAUUCUUUUCUCAAAAGAGGCGUUUCAUUUCUUAAAGGCUGGGCUUGCUCAGAAACCACGAGCCGAACCCCGGAUUUCAAAAGAUCAAUUUGUCCAGACGUGUCGUCACUUGUCACACGCAAAUUGCUUUGCGGAAAUCUCGGGCAAUUUGUCGAAGCACCAAUUCAGAAAUCGAAGAGGGAAAUUCAACAGUCAAAGACACGCUAGCUUUCUCAAAAGCUGGGCUUCAACCCACGGGAAAAUCUUCUUUUCCAGAUUUAUCCGCACGUGUCACAUGCUACCUCUACAAUCGACGAUGCUCAGAGCUCGAAGCGCCGAUUACAGAUAUCAAUGAGGAAUCAACUUUGCGGAAAUUACGGGCAGCUUUGUCAGAAAGCGCGUAAUUUGUAUUCUUCACCCAUCCACCGGCUGCCGACACUAAGUGAGAGAACAGUUCCGGUUGUGAAGACAAGUCCUAUAAGUUUCUACCUUCGCCUUCCACAGCAAAAGCACACUCUCUCAGCACACCCUCUCAACACCUCUUCAUCUCCGAAAAUGCAUUCCCAAAGAAUCCUCUCGAGUCACUCUGUGUUCCUCAUUCCUUGGGAUACUCCUGCGAACAACCCAUUCAAAGCAAAAGUAUUUCAUAUCAUAAAGGUUGAAAGCAAGAGUAUCUCAUAUCAUGCUUUCUCCAUGUCCUUCUCCUUGUCUUUGUUUUCCGACAAGGAGAAAGAGAGCAAUCAGCCAGCAUUUGGUAUCAAUCUUCCAAUCUGGAGCCAACUGCCUGGAACCCUUUCCUGAUUGCUUACCUAGCCUUGCUCUCGAGUACUCAUCUUCAUCAUUUUAUGCUUUCUCUUCGUCUACCACAUCUGCCUGGGGGACAGUAAGGGAAGUGAAAAUGAUACCUCGAAGCAUGUGGAGAUAAUUCAGCUAGGGACAAGGAGAAAGAGAGCAAGAGGUGGGCACUUGGAAAGAUUGAAGAAAGAAAUAAGGACCAACACCUUUCCCUCGUGCCUGCCCGUUGUGCAGAAGAAACAAGCAGAGAAGAAUGCAGCUUGCACAAUCAUCCCAGCGGAAGGAGUCCGAACUGAGGAACUAGAGAAGCUGCCACAUCUGCUUGGAGAACAAAUAAGGAACUGCAACAUAACCAAAGAGCAAAGCUUCGCCGUACAAUAUCAUAAAAUCAUCACUUGCAAGUGAAAAGCUAAGUGUCACCCUGUUCAAGAGGAAAGCUGUGGAAAGUCAACAAGCACGACCAAUGAUUACUUAUUAGUUUUAUUCAUUAUCUUUUAUCGUAAUUUUCAAUUUUUCGUUUGCAAUUUUUUUUUAAUUAAUUUUCUUGCGUACUUAACUGAAUUAUUUCUUUUCUUUGCAGGAACUUUUGGUUAUUUCCACACUUGAAGUUGAUUGCAGAAUUUUAGCUUGGGGGUCAUCGCUUGAUUUUACUGCAAAUUAGGGAAGUUUUCAGUCCAAUUGCUUUAUUUUGUUUUUUUUUUAUUUUUGUUUAUUUUAUUUAUUUUUGCAUUAUAGUGUUUUCUGACAUUGGGGACAAUGUCAAGUUUAAGUGUGGGGGUAGAAAUCUCCAGAAUUUCAUUUGUCUCUGUGUUGUUGUUUUUUUUUUUUUGUGUUCUUAAUUAGUUUUGUUUUCUUUUAAAAAAAAAAAAAAAAAAAAAAAAAAAAGUUAAAAAAAAAAAAAAAAAAAAAAUCGGAAAAUUUAAAAAUCCAAAAAAAUAUUGUCUUGUUUCCCUUAUUGUUCUGAAUCAGAUUUUUGUUAGUUUCCCGACCCAAUGAUAUAAUUGGAUCAAAAAUUUGAACCAUGAUCAUCAAGAACUUAGUUAACAUGUGUUUGGUGAAAUUCCUAAUUCUCUUGUUAGUUUUGUACAUGUUUGAUCAUCUUUGAAAAAACCAAAUGCACAUAGCCUUGUUAAUAUGAAACUAAAGUAUGACUUAAAGCUUCAUAUGUGAAUUUAGUGACCAUAUACAUCCUAUGUGAGUUUUUGAGCCUAUUGAAAGUGUGCAUUUUUCAUACACUCCUAUUCUUUCAUGUGUGAUGAACUUAUGUGAGAUACAUCUCUAGAACUUGCGUAACGAUCUUUCGAAAUGUUUGUCAUUGAUUGCAUGAACUUGGAAAUGAUAGAGGCAUUAGGUUUACCACUAUGGCCCAAAUAACCAUGUUUCCCAAAGAAAAAUGAUAUCAUUAGAUUGCCAAUUUGAGCCGUAUUUGUUGAACCUUUUGUUUCUUAUCACCAGAUAUGUCUACCCUUAUACCUGAAACAUUUUUCCUUACCAUUUCCAAGCGAGCAAUGCGAGAUUGUCUUAUGAGAAACGUUUGUGAAAUACUGUGAAGAUGUUUGGCAAAAGAAUAAGUGUGGGGGUAUUUCAUGUUUGUGAAUUAAAAAAAAAAAAAAAAAAAAAUAAAUAAAUAAAAAAAAAAGAGAAAAGAAAAAGAAAAAGAAAGAUUGUAUACGAAGAAAAAAGAAAAAAAAAAAUUGUUUUUCAAGUUUCAGUUUAAGGGUGUGAUUGGAGGUUUCUGAAGAAUCGUUGGAGAGCUUGAGUUCUUAUAAAUCUAGACAAAAGAAUUGCUUGCAAUGUAGCUUGGAACUUGUGUUUUCCUAUUCUUUCGUUUCAAUAACCCUAUCCCUAAGCCUCAUUACAUCCAAUAAAAGUCCUCUUGAUUUAAGUUUUGCAAUUAUGACUGUGGAGAAAUGAUCUUUAUGCAAGCUUAUGGUAGAAAUUUCACAUUUGUUUCUUUGAGCGAAACACAUUAAAACUAAACACAUGUGUGAUUGAGUGCAUAUCCAGUAAGAAGGUCGCUAGUUUGCAUAUGAUGAUUUUAAAAAUAAAAACUUGAAAUUGCAUUAGCAUGGCUAUCAAACACACUACAUUUCAAGGAUGAUUUAAAAAUUACUGCUAAUAUUUGAAUAAGGAAGAUGAACUUGGAUUAGUUCCUUGAUGCUAGCUAUGGUUCUUGAUGAUUUGUUUUCUUAAAUGAAUUUCUAUGAGGGUCACAUAGAGGGAAGCUAAUUUUUUUUUUUGUUACUUCUUGUUCUUAUUUUCUUUGUUUUGCUCGAGGGCUAGCAAAAGUUAAGUGUGGGGGUAUUUGAUCGGAUCAUAUUUAUAUAUAUUUUUACUUCGAAUUCACUCGUCUUUUCUUAGUUAGUUCCUUAUAUUUUUGAGCUAUUUACGUUAUUUUUGUGUUAUAGGAUUUGUUAUGCAAAGAAAAUAAAAAUAGAACAAGUAAAAUUUUAUGUAAUAAAUUUGUCAAAACUGUCUGUGUAGAUCAGCUUUUAAAUUAAAUUAAAAAAAAUAUAUAAUAAUGAUAAGUCAUGAUGAUGUUUGAAACAUCAUCAUGAUGGUUUUGUUUUGUAGAAGAAAAGAAAGGAACGGAUGGAGAAGAAGAAAAGAAAGGAAUAAAAAAAAUUAAAAGAAGAAGAAAAAGGAGAAUCCAAAGCGUGAGGGAGCGGGAGAAGGGACUGCCCUUUGGGCAGUUCGCAGAGAGAAAGGAAAGAGCUGCCUUUGCAGCACAAGGAAAGAAGGCAGACAGCUGCCCUUACAGCGUGAGCGAUAAUAAUAAUAGGAGGGAGAAACGAAUAGAAUAUAGAAAAUAGCGUGAGGGGAGUACGGGAAGGAUUGGAGUGAGAAAGAGGAGGAGAAAAGGAGCUGCCCUUCGGGGCAGCUGAAGAGAGCUGCUAGAGAGAGGUGAGAGAGCAGUCAAGAGGUCAAUGGGGAGCUGCCCUUUGGGCAGCUCGAGAAGAGCACAGGGGGUGACGCGGGAUUGGUGCAAAACAAGACGGGCAGAGACCAGUGACAGAAGAUGAGGAAAGACAUACGGGGGAGAGAGGUUGGUCAGCACAGCAGAGAGAAGAAGCCAAGUCCACGGAAUGGAGAGGAGAGCACAGCAAGAGUUGGUCAGAGCACAGAAAGCAGAAGCCUUUUCUUUCGGUUUAAUCUUUCCAAACUCCUAUUUUUAUUUUUGUUUUAAUAAUGUGUAAUUAAUUUUAUUUUGGCUAGAGGUUAAGUCGAAACCAUGAAUAUAUUUGUAAUAUGAAUUGAUUACCUUCGGUUGUGAUUUCAUAAGUUGUGUUUUCAAUUUACUUAUCCGUUCGUAUAAAAACUGAUUUGUGUAUGUUGGUUGAGAGUGCAC